GAUGAACGCUGGCGGCGUGCCUAAUACAUGCAAGUCGAACGCUGGAGAUCUAGCUUGCUAGAUCGAAGGAGUGGCGAACGGGUGAGUAAUACAUAAGCAACCUACCCACGAAGACUGGGAUAAUCUCUGGAAACGGGGACUAAUACCGGAUAGGUAAUCGGAAGGCAUCUUCUGGUUAUUAAAGGUUAAAAACACUGGUGGAUGGGCUUAUGGCGCAUUAGUUAGUUGGUGAGGUGACGGCCCACCAAGACGAUGAUGCGUAGCCGGCCUGAGAGGGUGAACGGCCACAUUGGGACUGAGACACGGCCCAGACUCCUACGGGAGGCAGCAGUAGGGAAUUUUCGGCAAUGGGGGCAACCCUGACCGAGCAACGCCGCGUGAGUGAAGACGGCCUUCGGGUUGUAAAGCUCUGUUGUAAGGGAAGAACGGUAGAUAGAGAAUAUCUAAGUGACGGUACCUUACCAGAAAGCCACGGCUAACUACGUG
Molecule: ribosomal RNA, 486 nt
Filed under: uncultured bacterium
Lineage: Bacteria
Description: partial 16S ribosomal RNA
Rfam family: Bacterial small subunit ribosomal RNA
Source: RNAcentral